AAAUUAGAACAUCAUCAAGAACUCCCAGUCAUGUUCAAUAGUACAUUUCACAUUCAAAACUUUCCAACUUGGAGCAGACAUAAAGAGACAUAACGACUUCCUUCAGGCCUCCAUAGCACAAGGUCUUAAGAAACAAAGCCAGUUAUGCAUAUAGCCAGGAUGAGUGCUGAAAGAAUUGGCCCAUAAAAGGAAAAGAACUUCUAUUAUAUUUGGAGUUGGCAUCUAAGCCAUUUCUCGAUCACAAGUCAAUAUACAUUGAAAUCCAUACUGAUAUUGUUGUCAGAAAGGAUGAAGGUGAUCCCCCGAGAACCAAUUACCAUUAGCAAAAAAGACUAAAAAAAAAAAAAACUAAAAGCCACAUUUUCCUCAAUAGAAAUAGCAAACCGUUAUAACAAAACAAGAUUUCUGAAUCUCCCACAUCAGUGAUAUUUGGUGAUAAGGAUUCCACUGGGAGCCCAAUUUGUUUCAAAUAGUCAUUAUUGCUAAUAGAUUCUUCACACAGAGAUCCAAAUGAAGUCAACAAAUCAGUUUGAUAGUUAAAUGUCCACCAAUAAACCAUAAAAUCUAAACAUAUUUGCCUUCAAUAUACAAAGAAAUGGAACACAGAUUAUAAUCACAAGUCAUAUUCAAUGUGUAUGUAGUCAUCAUUAAAAAGAUCAUAACUAAGCUAAUUAGGUGAUGUUAGCAGUAGCAUGACACAGUUUAGUAACUGUGGCAAUGGAAGUGGGCAGUAUUUUUUGGGUAGUUCCAAGCAAAGCUUGUGAUUUUUAGACUCAAUCCUAACUUCAGCCCCUGCAAAAAUUGUACGGCAGAUGUUAACAACAAAGAAAGGAUAGCACACUUUUCUAAAUAACUAAGAAAGCUUAAACUAUGGAAAACAUGGGUUUCACAGAAAUUGAUAAAUCAUCAAAACUGCAUGCAUGCAUGCAUGUUAUGGAAAGGCAUCCACAUAGGAAAGUAAUUCAGUAUGCAUACAACAGGCAUACCCUUAAGAGAAAGCUAUUGCAAGCUAAUCUCACCCAAUUUUAGAAUCUGGCAACUGGGAGCAUUUUUUGUGUUGUGUAGGACCCUCACGUUUACAUCAUUUGAUAGAUUGAGAUGUAUUGAAGCUUAUUCUGGUUUUAUUUUCAGUUAUCAAAUUUGCAUGCCAUGGCAGAAUGCAAUUUCCAAUUAAAUAGGGAUAAGUCUUAGACAUUCCAAGUGUCUUGCUUUUAGUUUUCAUUGCAGUCCAAAUUUAAUCUUCCAGUUCUCAUCAUGAAUUUACUUUUAUAGGAGUACUAUCCCUAUUGGGUGAGUUGCCUAAUCUCUAUGAAUAUCCGUUUAAUCCAAGUAUUUUGGGAGGCUUAUGAUAAUAGAAUUAUGAGUAAUUGGCUUCAGUUUUAAGGCACAUAUAUCUAGUGAAUGCAACAAAAUGAGAGUUACUAUCACAAUUAAGCACCCUCAAGAAAACAGAAACUAUUUCACACUACCUCGGAUACGAUGCAGACACAUAUAGUAAAUGCAACAAAAUGAAUAACGAAUGUUCUCUGUAGUAGUUGCAUGUAUAUUGAACCUGAGAGAUUCAGGUUCAACUUCCCCCUCCAGCCCUCGCCCUACGUAUGUAAUCGAAAAAGGAAUGCUCACUGUUGCUCAGUUAGCAGGAGCUAAUAUCUAAGCAAGUGUAAAUUCUCAUACACAAGCAUAUAUAUGUAUCAGAUCCAGUGAUUACACAAUCAUGUUAUCCUUUCGUGGACAUGACCACCCACCAACACUAACACAAUCCCAACUGACAAAAUCAUUUCCACCAAUAUCGCUCUCCCUCCGAAUCCGCCAAAAAAAUCCACAUCUCAAAUUCACUUAUCCGAUCACAAACCAUUGGCCCAGUUCAAACGGAACUUUUUUCCACUAUUUCAAAAUCAAUCUCUAUCAAGCACUUAACUUCCAUUAUUAAAGAUCCCACUUUUUCCCAUCAAACAAACACAUACCCAGGAGAUACAAUCAGAUAGAAAUGUCAACAUGAACAACAGCGAUGAUAAGGAGAAACACAAAAAAGAA
RNAcentral lists this unclassified non-coding RNA (2034 nucleotides) under Hevea brasiliensis (rubber tree). Lineage: Eukaryota; Viridiplantae; Streptophyta; Magnoliopsida; Malpighiales; Euphorbiaceae. The record is from RNAcentral.